CAGUCGCCACGGGAAUACGGAGGGUGCAAGCGCUAAUCGGAAUUACUGGGCGUAAAGCGUGCGUAGGCGGUUCGUUAAGUCUGUUGUGAAAGCCCCGGGCUCAACCUGGGAAUGGCAAUGGAUACUGGCGAGCUAGAGUGUGUCAGAGGAUGGUGGAAUUCCCGGUGUAGCGGUGAAAUGCGUAGAGAUCGGGAGGAACAUCAGUGGCGAAGGCGGCCAUCUGGGACAACACUGACGCUGAGGCACGAAAGCGUGGGGAGCAAACAGGAUUAGAUACCCCAGUAGUCCCUGUCUCUUAACA
RNAcentral lists this ribosomal RNA (301 nucleotides) under uncultured bacterium. Its description in RNAcentral is "partial 16S ribosomal RNA". It matches the Rfam family "Bacterial small subunit ribosomal RNA", at positions 509 to 808 of the family's 1533-position model. The record is from RNAcentral.